Molecule: RNA transcript, 2381 nt
Organism: Magallana angulata
Lineage: Eukaryota; Metazoa; Mollusca; Bivalvia; Ostreida; Ostreidae
Exons: 5
Source: RefSeq, a predicted model, not a curated record
UUCAGUUACGCACAUCAUGUGGGACAUUCACUGAGUUUAUUGACAAGUGCCCGGUACUUUAGAUUCAGUUUUAGUUUCAGUUACGCACAUCAUGCGGGACAUUCACUGAGUUUAUUGACAAGAAACUUGUUGUGAAAAACUUGAGAGUUGGCCAUUGUUAUAGCAUGGAGCUUCCAUUAAGACUGUGUGUUUCUUUACUAGGAACAUUCCUGUCUGUUGGUCUGCAGUACGACUGUAAAAAGGUGGAUGGCUACAAGUUUCCAGUAUACUCAACAGAAUUAUGCCCCAGAAAUCAGACAGAGUGGAACGAGAGGUCGUCUGCCAUCAACUGUACCAAAGACAAUGGAUACUUGUGUUUCCCGAAUGAAAAGUUCACCCAGCUGCUGGAGUUCUGUUAUAGAACUCGCUUCAUAUGGAUACAGGAAGGUUAUUGUCUGUAUCUAAAAAAAAGAUGACUCGACGAUAUAUUCAUACAGCUGCAGCAGUUUCCAAUUCGGAUGUCAUAAUUCCUCCUUUCAAUCAUAUGAUUUGUUUAAACAUUCGGGUUGUACAUCAAUUGGAAAUGGUUGUUUUCUUGCUGAACCAUCUUGCGAAGGUUCGGACACAGCAACCAGUCUUCCAGAAACAACGAAACCAACACACGUUGAGAUUGUCACUAGGAAUUACAGUACAACAGCGUCCAUUGAUGAAAAAACAAAUCAAACCCCAAAAUAUAAUGACUAUUUCAUCUAUGAUGAAGUAUUCAUGAUGCCAAUUCUUGCUGGAGUACUUAUUCCAAUCAUUAUAUUCUGUAUGCUGUGUAUCUUUUACAGGAAAGGUAAGACAAUGGGUUUGGGUUUCUUUUUGUUGUAUCUGAACCGUAUAUUGAAAAUCAAUUUUGCCAAAAAUAUGAUUAUUAUUAUUACAAUGAAUUGGAAACCAAUCAAUUUAAAAAUGCUGUUAGGUACAGAGAGACUUUCAAAUCUAAAGAGCGCGCAAAUAAGUAAAUGUGGGUAGAAAAAAAAUGUGUAAAAAUGAGGUUUAAAUGUACUUAUGGGUGUUGUUUACUCAGGGUUUGAGAUCUCAAAUUCGGAUUGUUAUAAAGUUCAAUAUAAUCAGUAAAAUUUGUUCUAAACACAAAAAGUAUUUAUGAAAUGAAUUAUUAUUGGCAAAUCAUUCGAAAUUUUUUCUUUAUUAUGGAAUUAGGCUAAAUAAAAAUGACUUUUAGCCAAAGAUAGGACAUUUGGACUAAAUUUUGAAGAUUUUGUUUUUUGCUAAAAUUUGUUUGGCAGUACUCUAAUAUUAAGAGAUAGGAUUUUAUAUUUUAGCAUACGUAAUUUUGCAUAUUUUCUGUUGGUUUUACCUCACUUAUUCAUUAAAAUAAUCUUUUGGCACGAAUUGCAAUAAUAUUGAAAAAUGCUUAAAAAUGAUAAAAGACACCAUAUCUCAAAAUUUUGAGCAUUGACCUUAUAUAAAUUUUAUGCCAACAGAAUAAGGUUAAUAUAAGUAGUUUAAUACCAUAUAUGUUUUUGUAUUAUCAUCAUUCAAUUUUUUUGUAAAAUUAGAUUAAAAAUGGGUAGGGAUUUGAAAACUGAUAGAGAAAAUUCGGACUGGAAUAUUUUCUAAAAUUGUUGUAGAAAUAUUAAUGCUUUGUGCUUAUUUAGUGCCACUACCAUUCAUAAACUGUAUUUUAUUUUUUUAAACUGUUUUAUUAUUUGUAGUAUUUUUACAAUUAAGAAAAUCUCAAUCGUAGUGUAAAAUUUUAUGGGAUUUUUCUUGAUUUUACAAAAAAUACGCAAUGGCCAUUAACUCAAAAAGUAGGUCAUUGACCUACUUUUCUGAAAGUGAAAAAUAAAACUACAAGCAAAGUUCUAUAACACACAAUAGAUGGUUUUUCAUUAUCAUCAGUGGAUUUUUUUUUUUUCAUUUUGAGUAAACGUCAUCCUUAAGAUGGAAUUAAUACAUACUUUCUUCCAGAUUUGAUAAAUUUAAUAGAUGCGUGCAUUGCAAUGUGCCAUUUGUCAGCAUAUGAAUCUAUAUUACUUUAUAAACAGUACAACUAUUCUGUACAAUAAAUUAAAUAAUAUUCUAUUUCUUAAGUUAAUUAGUUUAUGUAAAAUACGAUAAUGAUAUAAAAAACAAAGGGCAAAACAAAAUGCGCUAUUUGUGAACUAAAUAAGCUUCUUGUGGCUAGUCAACAAAGAAAAGAAAAAAAGUUAGCGAAAACACAGCAGCGUUUUAAUUCACUAGCAGAAUUUAAAAUUACUACAGUUUUCCGACAAUAGUAACGGUCCGCAAGUUAAAAAACAAAUUAUUUAAACUGAACAAACACAUAACAAACUGAAGAUUUGCAGCUGAUUAAUUUACGAUGAAGACAUUAGCAGAAUUCAAAAUUACUCAAG